AGAAUACCUAACGCUCGAUGAACCAAAAACGCUAGAAGAGCAAAAGAGGUUUAUUAGAGAGAAAGGACUCGUUUCGACUCAGGAUUACACAUCAAUGUUGGUUUGGAACUAUAAGAGAAAUGCGAUUCCGAUGGAUCAGGUUUCAAUUCUAAAGGAUCAACCUUUCUUGUUGGGAUCAUCAAGUAACUACAACCGCGACAAUGAUGAUGAUCAGAAGAAUAAAGAAGAAGAUGAAGAUAGCGAUGAUGGGCUUCACAUUGCACGCAUAUAACUCUUUGUUCAAGACUUUGAAAAAGCUACGACCAUUGUUGCUUCUACAGUGAGUAAGCUGAUUACUCUUAAGUUUCGCAGUUCCCCAUUGCAUCCAUCGCAGCACUCAUAAGCAUGGUGGCGAUUUUGUAAUCACGCGACUUAAUGGUGUCUAAAGAUUGGUUUAAGGAAUCAAUUGCGCCGGUGUAAAGCUCGAGGCAAUCGCGUAGCGGCCUCUCCACAUCAUAUUUAUUCUCCUUGAGAAUCUUGUUAGCCAUUCCUUUCAAGCUUGUCGUUUUUGACACAGCGUUCUUCGUCGAUGCGAAGACCAAUCCUUC
This is an RNA transcript of Camelina sativa (false flax), 587 nucleotides long. It is a transcript of the gene named nuclear intron maturase 2, mitochondrial-like, with no coding region annotated. NCBI's taxonomy places the organism in Eukaryota, Viridiplantae, Streptophyta, Magnoliopsida, Brassicales, Brassicaceae. The record is from RefSeq and is a predicted model, not a curated record.